This 743-nucleotide ribosomal RNA is filed under the name uncultured bacterium. RNAcentral's name for it is "bacterial SSU rRNA". It matches the Rfam family "Bacterial small subunit ribosomal RNA", at positions 28 to 760 of the family's 1533-position model. The record is from RNAcentral.
GAUGAACGCUAGCUACCCGUUUAACACAUGCAAGUCGAGGGGCAGCAUGGUCUUAGCUUCCUAAGGCCGAUGGCGACCGGCGCACGGGUGAGUAACACGUAUCCAACCUGCCGUCUACUCUUGGACAGCCUUCUGAAAGGAAGAUUAAUACAAGAUGGCAUCAUGAGUCCGCAUGUUCACAUGAUUAAAGGUAUUCCGGUAGACGAUGGGGAUGCGUUCCAUUAGAUAGUAGGCGGGGUAACGGCCCACCUAGUCUUCGAUGGAUAGGGGUUCUGAGAGGAAGGUCCCCCACAUUGGAACUGAGACACGGUCCAAACUCCUACGGGAGGCAGCAGUGAGGAAUAUUGGUCAAUGGGCGAGAGCCUGAACCAGCCAAGUAGCGUGAAGGAUGACUGCCCUAUGGGUUGUAAACUUCUUUUAUAAAGGAAUAAAGUCGGGUAUGGAUACCCGUUUGCAUGUACUUUAUGAAUAAGGAUCGGCUAACUCCGUGCCAGCAGCCGCGGUAAUACGGAGGAUCCGAGCGUUAUCCGGAUUUAUUGGGUUUAAAGGGAGCGUAGAUGGAUGUUUAAGUCAGUUGUGAAAGUUUGCGGCUCAACCGUAAAAUUGCAGNUGAUACUGGAUAUCUUGAGUGCAGUUGAGGCAGGCGGAAUUCGUGGUGUAGCGGUGAAAUGCUUAGAUAUCACGAAGAACUCCGAUUGCGAAGGCAGCCUGCUAAGCUGCAACUGACAUUGAGGCUCGAAAGU